Molecule: unclassified non-coding RNA, 301 nt
Filed under: Glomus sp.
Lineage: Eukaryota; Fungi; Glomeromycota; Glomeromycetes; Glomerales; Glomeraceae
Description: partial contains 5.8S ribosomal RNA and internal transcribed spacer 2
Rfam family: 5.8S ribosomal RNA (bases 1-72)
Source: RNAcentral
GUGAAUCAUCGAAUUUUUGAACGCAAAUUGCACUCUCCGGUUUUCCGGGAGAGUAUGCCUGUUUGAGGGUCAGCCUAAAUAAAAUCGGCUUAGUAGUUUGCUGUGUUUUUCACGGUAACGUUGGUCGGAAUUUGGGUCAUCUUAAACCGAAAGGUUUUUAAGCGACUUAAAAUUUUCUUUACGAUUCCACGAACGUUUCUAAGAUAUUUACUUCUUACACGUUUAAGGUAUCGAUCCUUAUUAGACGUGGCCGUUGCAUCGGAUCACGUCCAUAAAUAUUUCGUUAACUGACCUCAGACAG